Molecule: unclassified non-coding RNA, 164 nt
Filed under: uncultured fungus
Lineage: Eukaryota; Fungi
Description: sequence contains ITS1
Source: RNAcentral
UUGAUUCAUUUUUUUAAUGUAUAAUCAGAGUUCUAGGUUCAAAAAAGAGUUUGUUUGUCCCUCGGCGGGCGUGGUGCCCGCCGAAGCAACGUAUGGUAUGUUCACAGUGGGUUGGGAGUUUGGUAAACUCGGUAAUGAUCCCUCCGCUGGUUCACCAACGGAGA